This is a microRNA precursor of Dasypus novemcinctus (nine-banded armadillo), 90 nucleotides long. Ensembl annotates it as microRNA 10a. Lineage: Eukaryota; Metazoa; Chordata; Mammalia; Cingulata; Dasypodidae. The record is from Ensembl.
CUGUCUUCUGUAUAUACCCUGUAGAUCCGAAUUUGUGUAAGGAAUUUUGUGGUCACAAAUUCGUAUCUAGGGGAAUAUGUAGUUGACAUA